Molecule: ribosomal RNA, 450 nt
Filed under: uncultured bacterium
Lineage: Bacteria
Description: partial 16S ribosomal RNA
Rfam family: Bacterial small subunit ribosomal RNA
Source: RNAcentral
GUGGGGAAUUUUGGACAAUGGGCGCAAGCCUGAUCCAGCAAUGCCGCGUGCAGGAAGAAGGCCUUCGGGUUGUAAACUGCUUUUGUACGGAACGAAACGGUCCGGGUUAAUACCCUGGGCUAAUGACGGUACCGUAAGAAUAAGCACCGGCUAGCUACGUGCCAGCAGCCGCGGUAAUACGUAGGGUGCAAGCGUUAAUCGGAAUUACUGGGCGUAAAGCGUGCGCAGGCGGUUUUGUAAGACAGGCGUGAAAUCCCCGGGCUCAACCUGGGAAUUGCGCUUGUGACUGCAAGGCUGGAGUGCGGCAGAGGGGGAUGGAAUUCCGCGUGUAGCAGUGAAAUGCGUAGAUAUGCGGAGGAACACCGAUGGCGAAGGCAAUCCCCUGGGCCUGCACUGACGCUCAUGCACGAAAGCGUGGGGAGCAAACAGGAUUAGAUACCCCGGUAGUCC